Molecule: ribosomal RNA, 253 nt
Filed under: uncultured bacterium
Lineage: Bacteria
Description: partial 16S ribosomal RNA
Rfam family: Bacterial small subunit ribosomal RNA
Source: RNAcentral
UACGAAGGGGGCUAGCGUUGUUCGGAAUCACUGGGCGUAAAGCGCACGUAGGCGGAUUUUUAAGUCAGGGGUGAAAUCCCGAGGCUCAACCUCGGAACUGCCUUUGAUACUGGAGAUCUUGAGUCCGGAAGAGGUAAGUGGAACUGCGAGUGUAGAGGUGAAAUUCGUAGAUAUUCGCAAGAACACCAGUGGCGAAGGCGGCUUACUGGUCCGGAACUGACGCUGAGGUGCGAAGGCGUGGGGAGCAAACAGG